This 185-nucleotide ribosomal RNA is filed under the name uncultured Rhizopus. RNAcentral describes it as "partial 26S ribosomal RNA". It matches the Rfam family "Eukaryotic large subunit ribosomal RNA", at positions 92 to 273 of the family's 3401-position model. The record is from RNAcentral. Lineage: Eukaryota; Fungi; Mucoromycota; Mucoromycetes; Mucorales; Mucoraceae.
AGUGAGAGGAAGAGCUCAAGUUGGAACCUGUUUGGCCUAGCUAAACCGGAUUGUAUACUGUAGAAGUGUUUUCCAGGCAAGCCGAGUAAAUAAGUCCUUUGGAACAGGGCAUCAUAGAGGGUGAGAAUCCCGUCUUUGGCUUGAGCAUUUGCCUUUUGUGAUACGCUUUCAAAGAGUCGAGUUGU